UUUUGGACGACCGCUGCGGUGUGCUUUAGAAUGCAAGUCGAACGAGAAAGCCCUUCGGGGUUAGUAAAGUGGCGAACGGGUGCGUAACACGUGGGUAAUCUACCCCUCGCAGAGGGACAACCGGGGGAAACUCCGGCUAAUACCUCGUACGCUCUACAAACCGCAUGGUAAGUAGAGGAAAGGUAGCUUCGGCCAUCCGGCGAGGGAUGAGCCCGCGGUACAUUAGCUAGUUGGUGAGGUAAUGGCUCACCAAGGCCACGAUGUAUAGCUGGUCUGAGAGGAUGAUCAGCCACACUGGGACUGAGACACGGCCCAGACUCCUACGGGAGGCAGCAGUCGGGAAUCUUGCACAAUGGGCGAAAGCCUGAUGCAGCAACACCGUGUGAGCGAUGAAGGCCUUCGGGUCGUAAAGCUCUGUUGUUAGGGACGAAGGGCGAAGGGUUAAUAGCCCCUAGCUUGACGGUACCUUUCGAGGAAGCCCCGGCUAACUACGUGCCAGCAGCCGCGGUAAUACGUAGGGGGCGAGCGUUGUCCGGAAUUAUUGGGCGUAAAGAGCGUGUAGGCGGUCUGAUAAGUCUGCUGUGAAACCUUGGGGCUCAACCCCAAGCGUGCAGUGGAUACUGUUAGACUAGAAGGAUGGUAGAGGCGAGUGGAAUUCCCGGUGUACCGGUGAAAUGCGCAAAUUCGGGAGGAACACCA
This 699-nucleotide ribosomal RNA is filed under the name uncultured Antarctic soil bacterium. Its description in RNAcentral is "bacterial SSU rRNA". It matches the Rfam family "Bacterial small subunit ribosomal RNA", at positions 23 to 711 of the family's 1533-position model. The record is from RNAcentral.